AGGGAAAGAGGGAGGUAGACAUAACACAUGCGAGUCGAACGGCAGCACAGUAAGAGCUUGCUCUUACGGGUGGCGAGUGGCGGACGGGUGAGGAAUACAUCGGAAUCUACUUUUUCGUGGGGGAUAACGUAGGGAAACUUACGCUAAUACCGCAUACGACCUACGGGUGAAAGCAGGGGAUCUUCGGACCUUGCGCGAUUGAAUGAGCCGAUGUCGGAUUAGCUAGUUGGCGGGGUAAAGGCCCACCAAGGCGACGAUCCGUAGCUGGUUUGAGAGGAUGAUCAGCCACACUGGAACUGAGACACGGUCCAGACUCCUACGGGAGGCAGCAGUGGGGAAUAUUGGACAAUGGGCGCAAGCCUGAUCCAGCCAUACCGCGUGGGUGAAGAAGGCCUUCGGGUUGUAAAGCCCUUUUGUUGGGAAAGAAAAGCAGCAGGUUAAUACCCCGCUGUUCUGACGGUACCCAAAGAAUAAGCACCGGCUAACUUCGUU
This 492-nucleotide ribosomal RNA is filed under the name uncultured bacterium. Its description in RNAcentral is "partial 16S ribosomal RNA". It matches the Rfam family "Bacterial small subunit ribosomal RNA", at positions 31 to 507 of the family's 1533-position model. The record is from RNAcentral.